Molecule: ribosomal RNA, 484 nt
Filed under: uncultured bacterium
Lineage: Bacteria
Description: partial 16S ribosomal RNA
Rfam family: Bacterial small subunit ribosomal RNA
Source: RNAcentral
AUUGAACGCUGGCGGCAGGCCUAACACAUGCAAGUCGAGCGGAUGAAGGGAGCUUGCUCCUGGAUUCAGCGGCGGACGGGUGAGUAAUGCCUAGGAAUCUGCCUGGUAGUGGGGGAUAACGUCCGGAAACGGGCGCUAAUACCGCAUACGUCCUGAGGGGGAAAGUGGGGGAUCCUCGGACCUCACGCUAUCAGAUGAGCCUAGGUCGGAUUAGCUAGUUGGUGGGGUAAAGGCCUACCAAGGCGACGAUCCGUAACUGGUCUGAGAGGAUGAUCAGUCACACUGGAACUGAGACACGGUCCAGACUCCUACGGGAGGCAGCAGUGGGGAAUAUUGGACAAUGGGCGAAAGCCUGAUCCAGCCAUGCCGCGUGUGUGAAGAAGGUCUUCGGAUUGUAAAGCACUUUAAGUUGGGAGGAAGGGCAGUAAGUUAAUACCUUGCUGUUUUGACGUUACCAACAGAAUAAGCACCGGCUAACUUCGUG